Non-coding RNA from Xyrichtys novacula (pearly razorfish), 4042 nucleotides. The record is from the annotation of a GenBank genome assembly. NCBI's taxonomy places the organism in Eukaryota, Metazoa, Chordata, Actinopteri, Labriformes, Labridae.
GAGGAGUUUGGUCUAUAAAUAUUAUUUAAAUGCAAGUUAGAAAACACAAAGGCAACAUGACUUUUUAUCAAAAUACUGUUCAUGAAUAAGUUUUUGAGUAAUUGAUGUGUGCUGAGUUUGAUGAAUUAAAGUCAUGAAAGAAGAAAUAUAGUUGUUAACCCACCAAUACCAUUAGCCGGGGUAUCUGUUGCAGCUUAUUAUAGAGUCAAACUCUCAGUGCCUUCACACUGCAGUAUUAUCCAGGGGGCCUGGGUAUACUUUUUCAGACUCAUAACCAACAGGGCUUACUUGGGUUACCCUUGUCCCACCAGUGACUGCAUAUGUGGGCUUAUGUGAGUUUAGGGAGCCAUGGAGAGUACGCCCAGGAACAGCUGACAAUUUAUGCUAGUGGGGCCCCCACAUUCUCAGAGAGAGAGAGAGAGAGAGAGAGGAGAGAGAGGGGGAGAAGGGGAGGGAGAAAGAGAGAGAGAGAGAGAGAGAGAGGAUGAAAAAAGAUGGCUGGAGACAGCAGACAGGAUUGGGAGAGCGAAAGAGAGAGAGAGAAAGAGAGAGAGAGAGGGGUGAAGAAAAAGAAAAAAAGGGGGGGAGACAGGGAAAGGGAGGCUGUCUUGUUUGUAGCUUGUCAGCAAUUGCUUGAGACAAGCUUCCCCUCCAUGUGUGAAAGCUACUUGGCAGGAAUGCUUGGACCGUACCAAGUGCAGCCAGGCAAGAGGGGGGUUCAGCAGGAGAAACAGACCCCGGAUUGAAGAGCCAGUGUGUGGCUGAAGUAAUCCUUCGGCGGUGUCGGCUCUUUGAUGUUGUAUCUUUGUGGAUGUGUGUGUGUGCGUGUGUAUGCGUGUGUGUGUGUGCGGGGAGAGGAGGGAGGGCGCUCUGUGAGUGUGUGUGUAUGUGUGUGUGGGUGUGAAUGGGGCUGGAGAGAGCGUUUCUGUAUGGAUAUGUACUCUCUCUCUCUCCUCUCUCUCCCUUCUCUCUCUCUCUCUCUCUCUCUAGCAGCAACAAAAGAGAGGGAAUGAGACACCCCCCGCCACCCCCCUACUCUCUCCCUUCCUCCUCCUACUCCUCCUCUCCCCAGCUCUCAAGAGAAAGAAAGCAAAAAAAAAAAAAAAAGAGGAAAAGAAGAUGAUGAAACCUGAAGUGGUCCUGCAGUGUGAAUUGUGUGUUUGCUCAUAUGUGUAUCUGAAUUUUUGUAUAUGUGUGUCUGUGUACGUGUGUCUCUGCACGCAUGCCAGUGUGAAUAGCUUCUUCAAUUUAAUCUGUUUACCAACAAUCGUGUGUGUAUCCUGUUUGGGCUAUGACUGUGUGUGCGUGCGUGCGUGUGUGUGUGUGUGUGGAGCCCAGUCUGUGGGUGGGUGUCUGCGUGCAUUCGAGUGUGGUCAUGUUAUGUGUUUUCUCCCCAGUAGAGGCUGUUAUUGUCCUAAGAAUGUGUGUGUUUCUGUGCAUGUGUAUAUAUGUGUGUGCGUGUGUGUGCGUGGGGUCAGUCUCCAGUAGCCUGUUGCUUUCUUGCUUCUGACUUCGCUCUUCAUCAGGAGGAAUGCAGACAGAGAUGGAUUCCUGCAGGAUUCCUCCUCUCUGGCUUCAUUAUUCCCUCUGCUGCCGCCACUGCUGCUGCUGCUGCUGAACAAACACACGCCAAACACACACAGACACACAGGCACACACACACAUUUCUGCUCAUUUGCCAACACAAACAGGAGUAUUGCACACCACCUGAAGUGACUGGCCUUAAUAAUGCAUCUCAGAUCUUUUCUUCACCCCAAAAAAGUGAACUUUCUUCUCUAAUAUCACUACACGACUCUUUCUCUUCUCUCCUCCCAGUUUUUACCUCCACUCUCAUCCUUUGUGUGUGUCUAAGUUUGAGAAUGUCCACUCAGCAGCAGCAGCAGCAGCCUUCAUAUUACACAGGAAAGUGAAAGCUCCCCUCAUCAUCUGUUUCCAGGGCUUGUUGUAAAAAAAAAGGAGGCCAAGAAAUGGGAUGCAAUUUGAAAUGAAUUAGGCCGUGAAAAAAUGUUCAGGAUGUCAACAUGUAUCGGGGUGAAGGCGUUUAUGUAAUUGGAACGCUUGGUGUGCUGGUAUACAGCUUAAGAGAGGAAGUUCUGUCCUAAGGCUGGAGCUCAAUACACAUAUACACACACAUAUAAUAAAUACACACACACACAAACACAGACUAAGAUGUUUAAUUUGUGCAUGCAUGCGUCGGUGCACCUACGCGUACACCUGAGUGAUGCAGAUGAUGUUCUAGACUGAGCUGACCUCAUUUACAUGUCCUCUCGAGGAGGUGCGAUGAAAAAAAAGUGAGGGGACAAGGCAACGAAGGAGACAGGAGAGGAGGAGAAGGAGAGUAGGAAAGAGGUGCAGAAAAGGAGGGCAGAGGAGGGAAAGGGGACGAGGGGGCAAAGGAGAGGUAAGCAAAGAGAGGGAAUGGAAAGAGGAAAUGACAGAAGCGGUGAGGUGAAGAGGAAAGGUAAGGCGAGAAGAGAUGAGGGAAAAAAAGAGGAGGACAGGAAACAGGGGAAGCAGUGCAAGGAGAGAUGAUGAGAGAAUGAAGUAGGAGAUAAAAUGAGAGGUGUGGAGAGAACAUGACAGAAAGAGGAGAGGGAAAAGAGAGAGGACAGAAGAGAAGAGGUAAAGAGAAGGAAAGGAGAGGAGAAUGAAAAGAGAAACUAAGAGAGGAAGAGUUGUGCAAUGUGACAUGAAAUGGAAGGGAUGAAAGACAAAGAUGUAAAGACAAAUGAGAGAAGAUGACAAAAAGAAGGGGGAGAGGAGAGGAUGAAAAGAAGAGGAGGAGGAAGAAAAAAGGGGAGGGAAAGACCAAAUGAAGAGGGAGGGAAGGAGGAGGAAAUAAGGCAGGGAAAGAGGAAGUGAGGGGAGGAGAAAAAAGAUGGGGCGUAAAAGGGAAGAUGAAAGAGAGGGAAAGUUGAAAGGUAAAAGGGGGGAGGAGAAACGAAUGGAGACUGUGGCGAGGGAAGGAAGGAAGGCAGGGAUGGAGAGAGGAAGGGAGGGAGGGAGGCGGAGAAGGGAGGGAGGGAGGAGGGUUGAUCUCUGGGGUUUGAAGCACAUUAGUAUUCAUGGGGAAGAGGAGGCCACAGACAGCAGAGAAACAGAGGGACCAGACUGAGAGCAGCAUACCACACACACUCACAAACACUGCAUGGCUGCAAACGCACACACACACUCACAUACACACAAUCACACUAUACAUGUAAUAUGUGGAUUUAGAUGCUGCUGAGGGUUGAAGCACUCUUUGUGUGCUCCAUCUUGUCUUAUAUCUGCAGGUUUACACACAUUAACGCGCACACAGGCCCUCAAAAUUCCUCCCUGGGGAUGCUUUAGCGGUUGAGGCCUCUGAAACCACACGCACCCCUGCCGGCCUCGGAUCGAAUCCCACCGUCAGAAGCGUCUCUCCUGUGUUUUCACCACUUCGCAUCCCCUCUUCCUGCCUACUGCUCUGUCAAUAAAAGCAAAGAACAAGCCGGGGAUCUGUAGAUGUUGAUUUUCCUUUUUACCUCAUCGGCUAACCGUGAGUGUACCUACAGAAGAGGAGAGGAGAGAGGAGAGAAGAGUGCAGGUGACUCAUUUCACUGUGGGAGAGAUAGGCUGGGCUGGGCCAAGCUAUGGGGGGAAAAGGGGUGGAAGACAAACAAAAAAAAGGAGAAGAAGAUUGCAUGUAUCGUGUUGGAGGCCUCUUGCGAAAAACACAGUGGCAGGAGGAGAGCAAAAAGAGAGAGAGAGGGAAGAGGAGGUGGAGGGAGAAACAGCAACACUCUCCGGGUGUUCUAUUCUUAGUCUCUGCUCCUCAGACUUUGUGUGUGCGUGUGUGUGUGUUAGUGUGUGUGUGCGUGUGUGGGCAGGCAGGUGGUGUACAGCUGACAGUUGAUUUGCUGUGACACCAGACACACUGGCUGCCUUGGACUCCCGUGGCCUAGAUAUCAGAGUCUCCUGGAAGCCCCUUCACGCACACACACAUUAAAUCAAACACACACACUCAUCUGUGUCCCUUUUUUCUUUUUUUCUUCUUUUUGCCCCCCCCCCCCCUCCUCUCCUU